AAUGCUUCUUGCCUCCCUGGUGCAUUGUAGUUGCAUUGCAUUUGUUCUGAAUAUGCAGUGCAUCUGCAAAGCAACAGGGCGUCAAGACAAGACAACAA
RNAcentral lists this microRNA precursor (98 nucleotides) under Patiria miniata (bat star). RNAcentral's name for it is "microRNA pmi-mir-33 precursor". Its record names the gene pmi-mir-33. The stretch from base 15 to 79 matches the Rfam family "mir-33 microRNA precursor family". Lineage: Eukaryota; Metazoa; Echinodermata; Asteroidea; Valvatida; Asterinidae. The record is from miRBase by way of RNAcentral.